This 120-nucleotide ribosomal RNA is filed under the name uncultured bacterium. Its description in RNAcentral is "partial 16S ribosomal RNA". It matches the Rfam family "Bacterial small subunit ribosomal RNA", at positions 1373 to 1500 of the family's 1533-position model. The record is from RNAcentral.
CCCGGACCUUGUACACACCGCCCGUCAAGCCAUGGAAGUUAGGAGGACCUGAAGACAGUUGCUGCAAGGCGCUGUUUAGGGUUAAACUGAUGACUGGGGCUAAGUCGUAAACAAGGUACC